CACCGAAGCCUGCGGUUAUUUGAUCGUAAGGCAAUGUGGUGUUUAGGUUGGCUUCAGGCAUUACUGCUCUACCCCAAGUCCAGCAUUGAGUACGGCUUACCGUCCUGGCCCAUAGAGGGUGAAAGGCCCGUGGGGGUAGAGACCAUGUAUGACAGUUUUGUUCUGAGCUACCCUUG
Molecule: ribosomal RNA, 176 nt
Filed under: Schistosoma japonicum
Lineage: Eukaryota; Metazoa; Platyhelminthes; Trematoda; Strigeidida; Schistosomatidae
Description: partial 28S large subunit ribosomal RNA
Source: RNAcentral